Molecule: long non-coding RNA, 976 nt
Filed under: Sinocyclocheilus grahami
Lineage: Eukaryota; Metazoa; Chordata; Actinopteri; Cypriniformes; Cyprinidae
Description: lncRNA (ENSSGRG00000044145.1)
Source: RNAcentral
GUGUCCCGCAGGUGUUCAGUGGAGUCUCCGGGCAGGAGUUCUCAGCACAGAGGCAGCUGCUGUAGUUCCCGCAGCGGAUCCGUCUCCUCCACCGCCAGCAUCUCCAAAUCACCCAGCAGAUCAAGUGCAAAGUGCAGGAACGACAGGCACAAACAGGAAGGAAGUCACUCCAGCCACAGCCCACCGCCGUCCCCCACCACUGACCAGCCAAUCACGUGGCAGAAUGGGAACCACAGCAUCCGUGUACGCAAUGGCAAAGAUUCAGAAGCCAAUCACACGGAGGGGAAUAAAGGGAACGAUGUAUGUAGUCUCCUCUACUUUACCUUCAUCUGUUCUCUGCCGUUUACACUAAUAAUCCCUCAAACACUCUCUCUCUCACACACACACACACACACACACGCCAACUGAUUCAGUCAUAUCUGUGUGAGCUGACUCUAUAUCUCUUUUCCCUCUUUGGCUCCAUUUCGUGAGUUUUUCUGUUCUCAAGCCAUUUAUGUGUUUGUUGGGAAGGGUUUUUAUUUUGUCGAGACAGAUGUCCAUUAUUUUCUUUCUGUAAUAAUGUCAUGCUUUAUUUCACACACAAGCCAUUUUUCUUACAAUGGAAACUAAAAUAUAACCAAUUGUUGAGCAUGUGGGAUUUCAUGGAAGCACCAGCUCCAUCCCGAAGGCACAAACUGACGGUUGUGGCAUCUUGCGACAAUUUUUUACAUAAAGCAUCUAUUGCUAAUAAUUCAAUCGCUGGUGUUGGAUAACAUCCCACGAAAGAGACAUUUGAUGCCUCAACCAGUUAAAUUAAAGAUAUUUUGGUAACACUUUUGCUUCAUUUGUUAACAUUAGUUAACUAAAUUAGUUAACAUGAACUAACAAUGAACAAAGUAAAUGGGUGCCGUCAGAAAGAGAGUCCAAACAGCUGAUAAAAACAUCACAAUAGUAAUCCACACAACUCCAGUCCAUCAGUUACUUAUCUUUAGAAGCC